This 617-nucleotide long non-coding RNA is filed under the name Malus domestica (apple). RNAcentral's name for it is "long non-coding RNA (MDOM_LNC006539)". Lineage: Eukaryota; Viridiplantae; Streptophyta; Magnoliopsida; Rosales; Rosaceae. The record is from RNAcentral.
CUUUCCUUCCUCGGAGUCCUCCUUUUAAAGGCUUUUGAAAAGAGGCUUGGAUGAUUGCUGGAUUUCCCUGUUGAGGCACGAGAUGAACGAUUACUUUCUUUUACUGUUGAUGAAUAGUGAUUUGUCUGGAAUAAUUGUUGCUUUUACUGUUGAAGCACGGGACGAAUGAUGACUUGUUUUUAUUGUUGAUGAAUAGUGAUAUGUCUGGAAUGAUUGUUGCUUUUACUAUUGAAGCACGAGAUGAAUAAUUUCUUACUUUGUCAGCAUUAAUGAUGGGAAUUUUGACUAGGCUCCAUUCAUGAUGACUGAAAUUUCACAUGGCUUUAUGCAAAUGGGUCUUGGUAGUUGAUCCAUUUAGUUAUUUGGCUUUUUAGAUCGGCUGGUUGCUGUGAAGAUGCAUCUGAAGAUUCUGAAUCUAAAACUUCUCCUUCUUCAGCGUGGAGCAUCACUGCUUCUGCAAGUAAUUGUUGAGCUAAAUCUUGGAGCAUGGCAACUUUGUUCUUACUCUUUGUGCUUGUUGACUUGGGUGACUUGACUAUUCCUUUGAGGGAUAAGGGUGGACUAAUGUCCGAUAAUGAUUGUGCUGGAAUGACUGGCAUUAAUGGCUUUGUUGGAAU